CGGAUCCUGACUAGUGAAAGGUCCCUGCUUCAAUAUCUCCUGGGCCCGGAUGCUCAUGGCAGAGGCCGCGAUACCUGCAGUUCCUGUGAUUCGGUGGGAUUAUAUUCCAGCCUGCCAAACCUGGAAAAAAUACAGCUCUCUUCAUUAAUCUUCCAGGAACCAGAACAGAGUUUUCCUUCGGUACAUUCCUCUGCUGCUUCGUCCAGCACUCGCCCUCUACUUCCCACUGAAUCAGGAAACAGGCUUUUACAUUCCUUUCCGCUGAUUCCAUUGCCGUGCAGUGAUUCCCAAGAAAAGAAGUGACAUCAUCCUGUCAUUGCUGAAUUCUGGCAGAAAUGCAGCCGCUAAAAUGGAAAGAGGAAAAAAUGUUUUUGGCAGCGGUCAGGAGUGAGCAGUUGCACAGCAC
RNAcentral lists this long non-coding RNA (406 nucleotides) under Dasypus novemcinctus (nine-banded armadillo). RNAcentral's name for it is "lncRNA (ENSDNOG00000052440.1)". Lineage: Eukaryota; Metazoa; Chordata; Mammalia; Cingulata; Dasypodidae. The record is from RNAcentral.